This 269-nucleotide ribosomal RNA is filed under the name uncultured prokaryote. Its description in RNAcentral is "partial 16S ribosomal RNA". It matches the Rfam family "Bacterial small subunit ribosomal RNA", at positions 524 to 792 of the family's 1533-position model. The record is from RNAcentral.
UACGUAGGUGGCAAGCGUUGUCCGGAUUUACUGGGCGUAAAGCGCGUGUAGGUGGUUCUGUAAGUAGGGCGUGAAAGCUCCCGGCUCAACUGGGAGAGGCCGUUCUAAACUGCAGAGCUAGAGGAUGGUAGAGGGAGGUAGAAUUCCAGGUGUAGCGGUGGAAUGCGCAGAUAUCUGGAGGAACACCAGUGGCGAAGGCGGCCUCCUGGACCAUUCCUGACACUCAGACGCGAAAGCUAGGGUAGCAAACGGGAUUAGAUACCCCUGUA